UACGGGGGGGGCUAGCGUUGUCCGGAAUCAUUGGGCGUAAAGCGCGUGUAGGCGGCCCGGUAAGUCCGCUGUGAAAGUCGGGGGCUCAACCCUCGAAAGCCGGUGGAUACUGUCGGGCUCGAGUGCGGAAGAGGCGAGUGGAAUUCCUGGUGUAGCGGUGAAAUGCGCAGAUAUCAGGAGGAACACCGAUUGCGAAGGCAGCUCGCUGGGACGUUACUGACGCUGAGACGCGAAAGCGUGGGGAGCAAACAGG
RNAcentral lists this ribosomal RNA (253 nucleotides) under uncultured bacterium. Its description in RNAcentral is "partial 16S ribosomal RNA". It matches the Rfam family "Bacterial small subunit ribosomal RNA", at positions 524 to 776 of the family's 1533-position model. The record is from RNAcentral.